This is a non-coding RNA of Paramuricea clavata, 241 nucleotides long. The record is from the annotation of a GenBank genome assembly. Lineage: Eukaryota; Metazoa; Cnidaria; Anthozoa; Malacalcyonacea; Plexauridae.
AAAUAUCAAUAUCACUUUUCACAUUGAACAGUUACAUUGCAUUAGGGGCGGACCAUUAGAAAUCCCGGGGGGGGGUUGGUGAAAAUUCCCCCAAAAAAAUUCGUGCAAAGGAAAAUGCCUGGAAAAAAAUCCGUGCAGCCAUUACGUCAGAGAAAAAAAAAUCGUGCAAGCAAACAGCGAAGUACAAAUAGUCUUGAAAAACAAUUCGUGCAGAGGUUAAAUGCAUUAAAAAAAAUUCCUG